AAGAAAGUAAUCAACCGUAGGCCCUCUAAUAGCCCUAUACGGUUGAACCUAGAGCUCAAAAUCUAUCAUUAUCACUCUACCGGAGUCACCUCUGUGACCCGUCCGGCCUUCUGCACACAAGUUACGCUCUAGUGCUUCUCAUAAAUCAUCUGUGCACAUAAUCUAAGGUCACCCACCAGUCGGAAUCUCACUAACACUCUUGCGACUGGUCUGUCGUACCCACUCCGCGUGGACUGUACGACUAGCAUCUACUUGGAUCCAAGGCGAGCGUGCGAUGCGGUGAAUACUAUAAGCACUAAACCAUGGUGCAGGAUUUGAGCUCAAUAUAUAUCAUCAUAACAGUAAUUAAAUACUCAUCUGUGCGUCCACCGCACCAUUUCAUACAUAUGCAUCAUAAAUCAAUUCUUACCUGUGCGUCCACCGCACCAAUUCAUACAUAUGCAUCAUAAAUCAAUUCUUACCUGUGCGUCCACCGCACCAAUUCAUACAUAUGCAUCAUAUAUUAAUUCAUGCAUGGCAUUUCAACUCACAUUUCUAUAUACUUUUCAUAUCAAUUCUAUGCAUGGUAUUUCACUUCCCGUUUUUCCACAUAACUCAUAUGCAUUUCAUUUUAAACAUUAUUUUUCAUGCAUUUUCAAUUUCUGGGAAAACGUUAAGUAUAUAUAUAUAUAUACGGAAAACAAAACUGCCCACUCACCUGGAGUUCGUCCAACAACUCCCUAGCACCACACAUCAAGGCGUCACGACGAUCGCCGCCUAGAAUAGUAAUCAAAUCCAACCUCAGAAUUCAUAUCGAUAGAAUAUAUAACUUAUAUAAAAUACGUCACUACGUAGAUCGAUCCGGAAGAUCUGCCACUCAGAUUUUAAAUCCAUAACUUCCAAAGGUCCACAAUAUAUCUCUAGGAUAACAUCCUAAAAUUUCAUUUCCAUCCAACGGUCGGAUCUCCGUCAAUUUCCAAAACUAAGUGACGGUUAACAUUUUUAUAUUAUGGACUUACAACUUCAAUUCCGGAAGAUCCGUAAAUCGGAUUCCCAAUCCGUAAGUUCCUAUAAUCCUCAAAUAUUACGUAUUACAACGUAUCAAAAUUUGGUGACGAUCCAACGGUCGGAUCAUCAAUUCACAUUUUCACCUAAUGCGAAAUUUAUAAAAACGUUAUUUAAACGUACAUACGAAACAUUCGCUAAUAACUUCUCAUACGUUGAUCAAUUUGGGUAUAUAAAUAUACCACCGUGACCUACACGACGUCACGAACCCGUACAUAUUUUUAGAAAUAAUUUUGGACCAUGCACGCGCCCCCACGCGCCGGCGAGGCCACGGGUCUACGCGCGGCCCACGCGCAGUAACCCUAACGGAACUUUGAAACGGCGUCAGGAAUAUUCCGAGGAAUAUUCCGUUAACUUCUAACGGUAACCGUUAAAACUGACUAACGGCGUCAGAAUAUUCCGUCAAACUUGACGGAAUAUUCCGUCACCUUCAACCUUCAGCUCCGGCGACCGUCGCCGGUGCCGGAAACUGGGUAAGUUUUCUAAACUUGAUAUCUUGUUCGUUUUUCAACCAAUUUUUAUGAAAUUCAUACCAAAUUGAAGCUUAGGACCUCUAGAAUCACUUUAUACCUGUUUGAAACUUCAAAUUGCAUGAAAUUACGUCGGGGAACUUUGAAACUCCGGCGACCUCUGUAAAACUUCGUAACUGAGCUUCCCGUGAUCCUUUUCUUACCAACGAUGCACUCCGAGCAUCGUGAGAACAUUCUAAAGCUCCCUAUGAUCCUGAAAUUCAAAGAAAAUCUCCCAUUUAAAAGAUGAUGAACAAUACCCAAAUCGGGAAUCCUAUUUUUUUUUAGGGUUUUCCGACGUCCUAUUCCAUCCAAAACUCGUCCAUUAAACUUAAGAGGAAGAAAGAUUACCUUUGGGAGUCUUAAACUGGCUUGAAACUUCCAAGAUCACGUCGAAGUGAUUGUGUACUCAAAUCGGGUUACGGCUUUUCUCGGGUUUUCGAAGGUUCCAGGAUUUGAAAGCUAUGUGGUUAAAAUCAUAAGGACCUCAGGAACACCACCGUACUCUCCAUGAUCUCGAUCUGUAAAGGUUUGAAGGUUUUCGAGUGUUGUCUGUGUAUUGAGAGAGAAUGAGGGUGAGUGAAACUUGUCGAGGGAAUAGAGAGAGAGGGAGUGGUACACGGAUGAGAGAGAGAAAGUGCUUGACAGGUUUGAAAGGUAGAGCAAUUCACGGAGAAUGGGAAAUGACUUGGAUCCGUGAGUGUGUAGGGUCUAAGUCCUCAAUCAUUCAUCACAAACCUCCAAAACCUCAAAGUCCAUCUAACUUUAAACUAGGGUAAUUUAACUAAGUUCACACUUAAGAAAAUACUAAUCUUGGGACGGGCUGUGACAAUCUUCCCUCCUUAUAGAAUUUCGUCCCCGAAAUUCCAACAACCAACUAAAUCAACCUUACUGAAACAUCUAUACCCAUACAAUAGUCUCGGGUAGAUCUCUCUCAUCCGUUCUUCCACGUAAUUUCUUCUACUGAAUGAUUUCUUCACAAAUCCUUUACCACUUACUCUUUCUUAACUCUCGGGACUUCCUUUCUCCAAUCCAAAAUCGUCCUUAGUUCCUUAUCAAUUAGAUCCCGCUUAAUUCUCAAUAGUUGCACCAGAAUCUCAUGUGACGAAUCUGCCACCUAGUGACAACGUAUCGAACCCAAAAUACAUUAAGUAUCUUAGCCAACUCUGAAGACAUCACCACUUGUAUGCAACUUUAUUGAUUCCUUUAGUGAUCAAAACGGACUGAUGUGUUCAAGACUUAUCUUGUCUUCCUUUCUAAAUCUUACUAUUUCUGUUCAUGGUGAAAUUUCCAAAAAUAUCAAACCAUUUACCUUACACACUCGAUUAGUGGCAUAUCCAUCUGUUAGUCUCUUUUGCCAUUCCUGGUUACUUCAGGUUAACUUAAUCACCUGAAUACUUUGAGGAGACUCAUCCAUAGUCUCAGGGUCUACUAAAACUCUUUCUUGAUCGAAUCUUUCUCUAUUCAGAAGCAUUUCAUUCACACGACACGCUUCAGGGACCCUAUGGCGUUACUUCGGAAACUGCACAACCAACAUACUUAAGAAACUUAGCAGUUCCGUAAUCCAAUUCUCUUUUCCAUAAAACAAAUAAGUACUGUUACUCAACACUGGAGUAAAUGUACUAACUUAGUACAUUGACCAAUCAACACCUCAAAUUCGAUCAUAACCAUCUUAUGUACAAGAAAACUUGUACACAUAAUCCAAAGUAAUAUCUUUCCAUUUCUGAACUUUACUUUAGUUGGUUUCCAAUCCACAACAAGAAUUUUUUUUUUUUUUUUUUUUUUUUGGCAAGCGUGCCAGACAUUAAUCUUACUGUAGUCUUCUUAUCAAGUGCUUCAGCUACAACAAUUCACGAUCACCCUGAUCGUACAAUCAUAAUCACUAAGUAAUUCAAUUCACCUUUGUUGCCUCAUAUCAAAAUCCUUCCAAGUAAACAAAUAUUGGAGACUCUUUUGAUUUGUAAAAUCUUGCAUUCUUAUCAACAUAUAAUGUCUCCAUAACUUCACAGCAAGGAUGAUAAUCGUGACUUCCAAAUCACCAGUAGGGUAAUUCAUCUUAUGAGAUUCCAUUUGUCAUGAAACAUAUGCCAUCACCCUAACAUUUGCAUCAACAUGCAUCCAAUACCAUUCAAGAAAUAUCACUAAAAUUUUAUGAUUACCACUAUUCUCUGGGAAUACCAAAAUACGUGCAUGAGUGAGGAAAUACUUCAGUUGUUGAAUCCUUUGCUCACAAUUUCCUUCCUACUCAUACAUAACCUCCUUUCUCAACAGUCUCGUCAAUGACAAAGCAAUGACUAAAAAUUCUUUCACAACCAUCCAAAAUAGCCUGAUAAGUUAAGAAUUUCCGAAUCUCAAUUAUGGCUUGUGGUUGUUCCAAUUUCUCAAUUCUGCUGCCUUUUAAGAAUUCAUUUGAAUACCUUAAGUAGAUAUAACCAAUUUCAGAAUGCCACUUGAUUCAUCCAACAUUCACAUUUGCUAAACUUAGCAUACAGUCGACAUUCUUCCAAUCUUUGUUCCACCGACUUAAUACGUUUACAUGCUCUGCUCUGGCUCAGAAUAUGCCAGAAUAUCUUCAACGAAAAUGAUAUCAAUUAUCAAAGCAUUAUUGGAAUACUUCAUCCAUCAACUCAUAAAAUAGCAUGAGUAUCCAUAGCAUCACCAAACUUCAUAAAGACUAUAACAAGUCCAGAAAACCAUCUUAUAAUCAACAUCGUUCAAAAGCUUCAAUUGGUAAUGGACAGACCUCAAGUCAAUCUUUGAAUUUACACCAUUACCUCUGAGCUAGUCAAACAAACAUCAACCAAUUCUCUCAAUUGAAUUUCCAAUUCACUUAACUCAUCAUGAACCAAUCUCUAUCAUAAGAUUUAUACCUGGCAACAAUUCAAUAGUGAACCUUACAUCUUUGCCUGAAGGCAAUCCAGGUAUACUUUCAAGGACAACAUUAAGAAAGCGUCCAAUUACCUUUACAUUUUCCAACUACUAGGAGCCACAUUAUUUAGCAUCACAUAAGCUAAGUAUCCUUGACAGAUCUUCGAUAACUACCUCUUUACUCUCACAGCAAUUUAACAGUCUGUCUCACUCCACUUUGCAUACCCAUCAAGGUAACCUCUGAUCAUCCAGAUCGUUGGAAAGUGACUGGUUUCCCGUAACAUUCCAUCUUAUCACAAUGAUAAUCAACCAUUCUAUAUCUAGAAUGACAUCAAAAUCACAAUACAUACUCUAUUACUACUAAGCAUUCUGAAUAAGUACAAUACUAACAUAGGAUAACCUACCAGUUUACUUACUUAACGAAUCCACGAAUAAGUUAUUAAUAUUACGGUCUGCAGCCCGCAAUACUGAUAAAUCAUCGUUGUCUCGAUAAGUAGGCAACAACUCUCAAAGAUAUAAUAGUACUAUUUUUAUCACUCAAUGCAAAAUACAUAAUAAGAAAUAUAUCAGCCGGGGUCAACUAGAAUGACAUGUACGGCUGAUUCAACAAUUACCUCAAUAAUAUGUCGGCCGGAUCCACUCCGCGUGGUCGGUACGGCCGAGCCUAUAACUCACCAAUUUCUCAUUCGUCAGCCGGGUCCACCUCUCGUGGCCUGCAUGGCUGAACAUAUAACUCAUCAAAUCUUUCUGUACCCACGGUCACUCCGACCAAACUACUAAGUCCAUAACUCUGCUGAAUCGACACUAUGAUAUCAUGGAAAAUUGUUGAGUACAACUGAUUCUAGGGACAAUUCACAAUUCUGUGUCUCCUCUGUUCACAUAAACACAUUCAUUAAUUUCACACUUCCCAAAGUGUUAAUUUUGUACCUGCUGCACAAGGUACAUUUCCUUUACUCGAGACACCUUGUCUCAAAUAUCUGGGAUUACCAGUAUAUCCAUCACUUUUACUUUGACCAGCGACAUUAAAAACUCAACUGGAAGAAUUAACUCUAGCUUCACUUCUUUCGAAACUCUGAAUCUUUCUAUAUCCUUGAUAUGACGAAUCAUUAACUUUAUCGUCUUUUUUUUUCCAUUCAUUUCUUAUUCUUCCUUAAUUCACAUUUGCAACUCUUGCUUAUUACCAUCGAUAAAUGCUGGAGGAAUAAACUUUUCCUUUAACAAGUCCUUAAACAAUUCUCAAGCGGCUGUUUCCUCCAGUGACAACAAUUAUACUCCUGUUUCCACCAGGAUACAAAUUCAUACCCAAAACCAGGUAGUCGUCUCGACCCCUCAGUCAAAAGGAAGAUUCCUUUGACUUGCAUAAUCUAAAACAUCUUUUCCAAAUGGUUAAACCGUUACUUCGCUCCCUCGGGUUCAUCAUUUCAUAAGGUGAUUCAAAUUCGACUCAUAAUCCGUCUUAAAAUGUCCCUUUUUAUAAUAGACUGAAUCACCAUAAGAAUAGUUUCCCCUAAACCGCUAUAUUAGGGAGACUAAAUUCCUCUAACUAAGUGGUUUACUACGAGGCGGUGUAGUUCUGACAGAAUUCACUAGAAACUUCUCAAAAUGUCCAAGAUUGCAACCAUGCUCUGAUACCAACUGACACACCCCGUCCCGAAGGAGGGCAUGCUGGCCGUCACGUGAGAGUGACGUAACCAUUUGCACAGUACGGAAGCUUUAAGAUACAAUUUAUAAGUUGAUACACCCGAAGGUGAGUCCUAAUUUUGUCCAAUCUGUCAGAACACCGACGAAUUCCUCGUAGUCACCACACCUUUGUGAUUCCUGAACCUGGAGGGGCGCAAAACCAAAAUUGAGUGGGUCAGUAAAACAAUUCUUUUCCAAAACCAAACAUUUCUCAAAACGUUGUAACCCCUCUCCGUAAAACCUGUAUACUUUCCCAGAAAUGUAAAAUAUAAAUAUACAUAUAUAUUCUCAAAACUUCAUUUUUACUAUCUCAACAUUAUCUCUUUAUCAAUCAUGCCAUGCCAUGUCAUCUCAACAUUUCUCAUAUUAAUUAUGCCAUGCCACAUCAUCUCAACAGUAAUAAGGUAUGAAUGCAUCAACAUAAUCAUAUCAGGUGCAAGAAAGUAAUCAACCGUAGGCCCUCUAAUAGCCCUAUACGGUUGAACCUAGAGCUCAAAAUCUAUCAUUAUCACUCUACCGGAGUCACCUCUGUGACCCGUCCGGCCUUCUGCACACAAGUUACGCUCUAGUGCUUCUCAUAAAUCAUCUGUGCACAUAAUCUAAGGUCACCCACCAGUCGGAAUCUCACUAACACUCUUGCGACUGGUCUGUCGUACCCACUCCGCGUGGACUGUACGACUAGCAUCUACUUGGAUCCAAGGCGAGCGUGCGAUGCGGUGAAUACUAUAAGCACUAAACCAUGGUGCAGGAUUUGAGCUCAAUAUAUAUCAUCAUAACAGUAAUUAAAUACUCAUCUGUGCGUCCACCGCACCAUUUCAUACAUAUGCAUCAUAAAUCAAUUCUUACCUGUGCGUCCACCGCACCAAUUCAUACAUAUGCAUCAUAAAUCAAUUCUUACCUGUGCGUCCACCGCACCAAUUCAUACAUAUGCAUCAUAUAUUAAUUCAUGCAUGGCAUUUCAACUCACAUUUCUAUAUACUUUUCAUAUCAAUUCUAUGCAUGGUAUUUCACUUCCCGUUUUUCCACAUAACUCAUAUGCAUUUCAUUUUAAACAUUAUUUCAUGCAUUUUCAAUUUCUGGGAAAACGUUAAGUAUAUAUAUAUAUAUACGGAAAACAAAACUGCCCACUC
This 7231-nucleotide long non-coding RNA is filed under the name Malus domestica (apple). RNAcentral's name for it is "long non-coding RNA (MDOM_LNC006556)". Lineage: Eukaryota; Viridiplantae; Streptophyta; Magnoliopsida; Rosales; Rosaceae. The record is from RNAcentral.